Molecule: unclassified non-coding RNA, 834 nt
Filed under: uncultured soil eukaryote
Lineage: Eukaryota
Description: sequence contains 5.8S rRNA gene, ITS2, 28S rRNA gene
Rfam family: Eukaryotic large subunit ribosomal RNA (bases 410-834)
Source: RNAcentral
AACUCUUAGCAACGGAUAUCUAGGCUCUCGUAUCGAUGAAGAACGCAGCGAAAUGCGAUACGUAAUGCGAAUUGCAGAUUUUCGUGAAACAUCAAAUCUUUGAACGCAACUUGCGCUCUGGGGAAACCUGGAGCAUGCCUCUCUGAGUGUCGUCACAACCAACCUCGGCUGCGACCUGUUAAAAAGGGUCGCUGAGUCCGGAUAGUGAGAGUCGUUAGAGCCUUUUAUAGGCAACUGGCGUCUCUUUAAGUUGAUGCUAUAUAAACAGCUCUUAGCUUGAUGUCAUCCAUCUGGCUGAUGCCUGAUAACUGACCUUUUUUGGUCAUUCUCUGCAUCUGGCUUGGGAUGUAUUAAGAAUUUGUGGCUUCGUUUAAUUAGCCUCAAAAGGAAAACUUAAACUUUUUAUUCGCGAUCUCAGAUGAAGCAAGAUUACCCGCCGAAUUUAAGCAUAUAAUUAAGCGGAGGAAAAGAAACUAACAAGGAUUCCCCUAGUAGCGGCGAGCGAAGCGGGAAUAGCUCAAUGUUAAAAUCGAUUGCAGUCUCUGUAAUCGAGAUGUAACCUCGAGACAGAAUCCCAGACGUGACCCUGGUAUAAGUCCUCUUGGAACAGGGCGUCAAAGAGGGUGACAACCCCGUUUUUGACCGGGAGUUCGCGUCGUACGGGACCUGCUCAAAGAGUCGAGUACCUUGGGAAUGGUGCUCUAAAUGGGUGGUAUGUUUCAUCUAAAGCUAAAUAUCGACGAGAGACCGAUAGCGAACAAGUACCGUGAGGGAAAGAUGAAAAGAACUUUGAAAAGAGGUCGUUAAAUAGUACUUGAAAUUGUUAAGAGGUAA